Molecule: long non-coding RNA, 459 nt
Filed under: Homo sapiens (human)
Lineage: Eukaryota; Metazoa; Chordata; Mammalia; Primates; Hominidae
Description: non-protein coding lnc-OARD1-1:6
Source: RNAcentral
CCAGCUAAGCAGUAGGUUCUUAGGAAAACUGUGUGUCUUGGAGAAUGAAUUUCCAUCAGAGGAAUGAGACCAGCCUGGGAGGACGUCACAGAAGACUGGAAAGAUGAGAACUGAGGCAACAGGGAGCCGCUUGUCUGAACUCUCAUCUGGACUGGUGGAAGUCCAGGGUGCUGGCGGUGAGAGAACAAAGUAGACUCGGACUGCCCUGGAAAAUGCAGAACCCUGGGCACGUAGGACCAAAAGGGGAAUCAAGACUGAGACUGUCACUGAAGCAUAAAUUCAAAGAGAUGCAGAUGAGAGGAGGGGCCUGGUGGAAGAUGAAAGUCUGGAAAACUGUGAUGCCAGACAAGAAGUGGACUCUGUGCGGAGGUUGGAGUGCAGUGGUGUGAAUAUGGUUUACUGAGGCCUCAAUCUCCUGGGUUCAAGUGAUCUUCAUAUCUCAGCCUUCUGAGUAGCUGG